Molecule: non-coding RNA, 3103 nt
Organism: Anas platyrhynchos (mallard)
Lineage: Eukaryota; Metazoa; Chordata; Aves; Anseriformes; Anatidae
Source: RefSeq, a predicted model, not a curated record
UUUGUUUCACUCCAAUCAUCUCCAAAAGCUGCAGCCUCCCCACAGAAAAUUGUUUCUGGUCCAGCUUUUCUCCUACACCAACAGAGGCAGCAACUCUGUCCCCCAGGUCUCUGGCACGAGGCUAUGCUGUCCUUUCAAAGGCCCAGAUUUGGACGUGGGCAAUGCAGGAGCUGAAGCUGCAGGAACUCGCCGCAUCUGCAAGGAGCCCCGAGAGCUCUCCGAAGUGGUUUGAGCACAGGCCUGUCAAAGUUUAAAAAAAAAAAAAAAAAAAAAAAAAAGUCAAUUACACUGACAUUUUCCAUCAAAAAGAAAAAUUAAGUGGAAAAUUCCUGCCUAGAGUGACUCUUCGCCCUCAGCCUGGGAAUGCAGGCGGGAAGCUUUAUCCUGCUCAAGAAGCACCAAGAGGCUCAACUGAGCUUCCUUCGUUCCUUUUGCUUGAAACACCCGAGUUUAUUUUCCUCUAUGGCCUGGUUAAUCCAUUAGCACACCCGCAGAGCAUCCGUGCGCGCUCCCGAGGUCAAAACCAGUGCGGGUGAGGGGAAAACAAACAGCAAAUCUCAGCCCGAGCCCACAGAUCACGCUCACAAAUGAUGCUUCUGCAACCCGCACCACCUUUAUUUUCAACUUUCCCCCUGCAGGCGAGGGGGGAUGAAUCUUCCCCACCGACAGGCGUUGUGUGCCCUUGCCGGGUGUCAGACCUCAAUCGUCUUGGUGGCCUCCUCUGUCUUCCUCUGCAAACUCGGUGACAGCCCCGAAACCGAUGGCUGAGGGGAGCAAACCACAACGCUCACCUGCUUCAUCCCCAAAGGCAAAUCCCUGAACAGGUAGAAGGGGGAGCCGGCACUGUAACCGGUUUGCAACCUUUACUGAGGUGGAAAUCAUCAGUUCAGCCGCACCACCCUGCUUCCCAGAGACUUCUCUCUCCGCAGAUUAUUUUAAACUCAUCUAACUGGGGGGAGCAAGGGUACGGCGUUAAGAUUAUUAAGAUUAAAGCAGAAUAUUCAAGGGGGGCUGGGGGAUGUGGGUGAAGCAGUUACGGGUCGCUCGGGCUGAUCUUAACAGCCUGCCGGCUUCAGAACCAACUCAAAGGCAAAAAAUUAAGGAAACGGAUAAAUUAAAAAAAAUGAUAGAGCUCAGAAUGGAUUUCACACAGAUGGAUUCUGCCAGGCAGGCCUGGUAAAUAUAUUUUUUCCGGGAGAUAACGGCUUUUUUUAAACAAAAGCCAAUCUUUGUCUUUUGUGGGAGAGCUUGACCAUCUGGACUUCAGAAAAACAUUUGAUACCGCGCCACAUGGGCGAGUGAUUUGUUAAACUGUAGGAGGGGAACAUUACAAUAAGAAUUAUGAAUCAAAGAAAAGCUCUGCGUAAAGAAAAUAAGAUUACAAUAGAUAAUACCAAAAAAGGAGGCAGUCUGGAGGGCUUUUGCUGAGCGGGCCGUUCAGUGACUGCUCGCGUUCAACGCUUCCGCAAUGACCGGGAGCCAACGCUCAUCAAAUUCGCUGCUCGGGAGGCAAAACAACCCAAAAUAACGAGUGCUGGUGGACUUCAGAAGGAAGUGACGGCUGUGAGGACCAGACCUGAUGACCCUCAGUGGUGCAGAAAUCAAAAACCAGGCUUAAAUGAGUGGUGGCACCGGCUUCCCGUGCUGGAUGGAAAGUUGGAGAUGAGGGAUGAGGAGAGCCACCUGCACAUCUCAGCUGUCCGGCAACAGACAGGGGGGCACUGACACAACGCAAGUAUAAAAAGGCAUCUGCAGCUCCAAAUAAUUCCAGAACUAUUCCCCUCUAAUGAAGAGCAUCUCAGGGAGAUCAUAUCCUGCCUACUUACUGCCCGUCGUCCACAAGUGAGGGUCCAAAUCAGCAUUCCUGGGAAAAGGAAGAGCAAGGUUUUCCUUCUCACUCUCUCUAUGAAGACUUUUCACAAGAAUAGAUGUCAAUAGCUGUCUGAAAACCCAAAACACCAAGAAAGACGAGAGGUCACGCAACGCAGCAGCUCCAAACUUCGCCAGCCCUCUCCAAAUGCAAUAGGGAACUCAACCCCCUGGUUUCUCCUUCCUCGGGCAGGUCUAUGUGCAAGGUCUUCAGAAAAAGCAGCAGGAAUGAAGCUGAGGGAUUUUAGCAGAAAUUAAACAGAAUUCACCCCGGUGAAUUUUCAAGACAAGAUUCUUUGUGUAAACAUUAUUAAGCUUCCCUACGGAAUGUAAUUAGAAGUUCUGCCCCUUUUAUCUAAAAUUUGCACAAAAAAAUCCAUCACUGUAUUAAGUGAUAAAAAGGACUUUCCUUUUUUUUUCUUUUUUCUUCUUAAUAAAGGGUGUUUUUAAAGCCUUCCUUAAGCAGGUGAACGUUUCAUUAGGAAUCCUGGGCUUGUUCUAAGUAAAUUUGGAUCCCUCCUGAGUAAAUCGGGAGGCAGAUUCAGGUUUUGCAUCAAAAUACAUGACAAUCAGCCUCAAAAUUCAGGAGCUUAUUCGAGAGGCGAGAAGACGGGAGCAAAAGCUGCCUCUAAAAGGAGAAUUACUCAGGUCUACCCAGUAAGUUCUCUGUUUAUGGGCAAAACCCACUCACUGUGAGUAAGGACUGUCAGAAAUUGAGACAAAAUGGUUUUUAAUCAGAGAAUGUCAACUUGCCAAACACAAGAUUUCGCAGGGAGGAGGAAGAAAGGCCACUUCAAAUAGCAAAUUUAUUUACCCGGGCCACUGAUUUUUCAGUCAUCGUGGAGUUGUCAGCUGUUAAAAAAAAAUAAUAAUUUUUAAAAUGUGGAUAAAAAAAAGGAGAGAAAGAGAGAAAGAAAAAAGCAAAGAGUCUCACAAAGCAGAAAUACCGUGGUAUGUUGGGCACUGGCCAGGGAUGCAGAUGGCUCAGAUUCAAGCCCUUCAAAGCAGGGAUUUGUACCUCUCUGCCUGCAACAUUCCCAGUGAGGCCCCGGCCACAACCCAGCCCCAGAGUUUCACACUCGUCUUAUGGUUUAAUAAAAAUAAUAAUAAUAAUAAACCAAUCUUGGUUUCAUCUUAAUGUCGAAAACGAACUUCUUUCAAAAUCUCAGGGAGGGUUAUGGGAUCGGAAAGCACCAGGUCCCUUCCCUCCCUGGUUCUGAUUACAGCUAAUUAC